RNAcentral lists this ribosomal RNA (425 nucleotides) under uncultured bacterium. Its description in RNAcentral is "partial 16S ribosomal RNA". It matches the Rfam family "Bacterial small subunit ribosomal RNA", at positions 354 to 796 of the family's 1533-position model. The record is from RNAcentral.
GUUAGGAAUAUUGGACAAUGGGCGAAAGCCUGAUCCAGCCAUGCCGCGUGAACGAUGAAGGCCUUCGGGUUGUAUAGUUCUUUAGCCGAUGAUUAUAAUGACUGUAGUCGGAAAAUAAGCCCCGGCUAACUUCGUGACAGCAGCCGCGGUAAUACGAAGGGGGCGAGCGUUAUUCGGAAUCACUGGGCGUAAAGCGUGCGUAGGCGGUUUUGUAAGUUAGGAGUGAAAGCCCAGGGCUCAACCUUGGAAUUGCCCUUAAAACUGCAAGGCUCGAAUCUCGGAGAGGAUAGCGGAAUUUCCAGUGUAGCAGUGAAAUGCGUAGAUAUUGGAAGGAACACCAGUGGCGUAAGCGGCUAUCUGGACGAGUAUUGACGCUGAGGCACGAAAGCGUGGGGAUCAAACAGGAUUAGAUACCCUGGUAGUCC